GAUGAACGCUGGCGGCGUGCCUAAUACAUGCAAGUAGAACGCUGAAGGCGGAGCUUGCUCUUCUGGAUGAGUUGCGAACGGGUGAGUAACGCGUAGGUAACCUGCCUGGUAGCGGGGGAUAACUAUUGGAAACGAUAGCUAAUACCGCAUGACAACAGUUAUUGCAUGAUAACUGUUUAAAAGGUGCAACUGCUCCACUACCAGAUGGACCUGCGUUGUAUUAGCUAGUUGGUGAGGUAACGGCUCACCAAGGCGACGAUACAUAGCCGACCUGAGAGGGGGAGCGGCCACACUGGGACUGAGACACGGCCCAGACUCCUACGGGAGGCAGCAGUAGGGAAUCGUCGGCAAUGGACGGAAGUCUGACCGAGCAACGCCGCGUGAGUGAAGAAGGUUUUCGGAUCGUAAAGCUCUGUUGUAAGAGAAGAACGGGUGUGAGAGUGGAAAGUUCACACUGUGACGGUAUCUUACCAGAAAGGGACGGCUAACUACGUG
RNAcentral lists this ribosomal RNA (495 nucleotides) under uncultured bacterium. RNAcentral describes it as "partial 16S ribosomal RNA". It matches the Rfam family "Bacterial small subunit ribosomal RNA", at positions 28 to 507 of the family's 1533-position model. The record is from RNAcentral.